Mercurialis annua (annual mercury) is the source of this 797-nucleotide long non-coding RNA. RefSeq lists it as uncharacterized. Lineage: Eukaryota; Viridiplantae; Streptophyta; Magnoliopsida; Malpighiales; Euphorbiaceae. The record is from RefSeq and is a predicted model, not a curated record. The transcript is spliced from 2 exons.
GGAGGUGGAAAAACACAUCGGAUUCUACUUUGACCAAAUGCUUAUUUUGUUUUGGGCUUUUUACAGCAACAACCAACUUUUUCAUUUGGUUAUCUUUUAUACGGAGCAUAAUUUCACAUCACAAAACUACCGUACGUGGAGUGAAUAUUAUCUUUUUUAACCUUGGUAUAAAUAGAAAGAAAAUAGAUGUCACAACUCUUUCAUUUGAUUUCUGCUUCAAUUUCUCUCUCAAAAAUUAUCGAUCUCUUCUUGCUCCUCUCUUCUUCGUCUGCGAUCCGCCUAUGUCUUUCUGCAAUAUCCAAUUUUAUGGAGGUUAAAUAGAUUAUCAUCGGAAACAAUUUCAAGCUAUUCAAUCUCUGAAAUGGCAGUAGAAUGGUAGCGUUUGGGUUGGUGGUGCGACGACAUUCCGCCUGGUGGUUGUGCGACGACGGGUGGUGUUGUGGCUGACGGCGGCAGUUAUUGGGCAAACGAUGGCGGUGUUCAACAUGAUGGUGACGGCGUCGAAGAAGAAGAAGACUAGAGAGCCAAAGGAGGACAACAAAGUUGAUUAUAUGGAGGCACACCACUGUUAAAUAUUGUCUAAUGACUAUGAAAAAGAGAGAUAAUGAGAAGGACAUCAACUUUUGCACAAAAAAAUUAGAAAUUUAUGGUGUGAUGUAAAGUAGUAUAAUUUUUCUAGUGUGAUUUUUUAUCUUAAUUUAAUUUUUAGCCUCAUGAAUGCUAAAGAGAUGUUGCAACUGCCGGUUUUGUUUUAUUUUUUAUUUAUAGGGAUAAUGAUAUGUUAUUUUUUGUGUUAA